GAUCAUGGCUCAGGAUGAACGCUAGCUACAGGCUUAACACAUGCAAGUCGAGGGGCAGCAUGGUCUUAGCUUGCUAAGGCCGAUGGCGACCGGCGCACGGGUGAGUAACGCGUAUCCAACCUGCCUUACACUCUUGGACAGCCUUCUGAAAGGGAGAUUAACACAAGAUGUUAUCAUGAGUAAGCAUUUUCGCAUGAUUAAAGGUCUACCGGUGUAAGAUGGGGAUGCG
RNAcentral lists this ribosomal RNA (229 nucleotides) under uncultured bacterium. RNAcentral's name for it is "partial 16S ribosomal RNA". It matches the Rfam family "Bacterial small subunit ribosomal RNA", at positions 15 to 235 of the family's 1533-position model. The record is from RNAcentral.